UUAUUAUAGCAAAGAGGAUACACCUGUUCCCAUACCGAACACAGAAGUUAAGCUCUUUAGCGGCAAUGGUACUUGGUGGGCAACUGCCUGGGAGAGUAG
RNAcentral lists this ribosomal RNA (99 nucleotides) under uncultured Romboutsia sp. Lineage: Bacteria; Bacillati; Bacillota; Clostridia; Peptostreptococcales; Peptostreptococcaceae. The record is from RNAcentral.